Daphnia pulex (common water flea) is the source of this 1240-nucleotide long non-coding RNA. RefSeq lists it as uncharacterized. The transcript is spliced from 7 exons. Lineage: Eukaryota; Metazoa; Arthropoda; Branchiopoda; Diplostraca; Daphniidae. The record is from RefSeq and is a predicted model, not a curated record.
UUUGGAUGUUGACUGAGAAGUUACUGUUCGUUCGUUGUGACAUCAAAGUUCAAACUUUAUAGAAAGUGUAUUGCAAUUGAAGAUUUCAUUCACAAAUCUGAAAAAAAUGAACUAGGAUUUUAUCGGUUUACAAGUUUAAUAUGGAAAACAGCCAUCCUAGUGAAAACCAAGUGUUCUGCUGCUGAGUGUUUCAACCAAAUAAUGGAGAUUCAUACUUUGUAUCUGCUGUUUGCCAUUGAAAUCCAUCUAGCUGUAGCAUAGAUGGAUGAAUGUCUUAGAAACACGGCUUCCUCGAGACAUUUUGCUGUAUGUAAUGGUGAAAAUGGCUUGUUUGUGUUACAAUAGCUCGUUUCCAAGAUACACACAUCUUUAAGCACUAUUUGUGACGUCCAUGAGAUCGCAAGUCGACUUCCAAUGUCAAUCUACAACGCAGUUUCUUUAUUGGAAUUGUGUUUUCCUGGCACGGAGAUCUUUGAGCCUACGCUAGCCUUUGUUUAUGACAGAAGAGUGACUUCCACCAAAGUUCUGCUCCAUCCUUAUCUUCGCGAUGUACGCUCAUCCAACUUCACUGCUUCUGAUGCUGCUGCUACACAAAUUUUCUUGCUUCACUGGCGAGUUAGAACACUUCAGUGGUCGCUUCCGCCCGCUGUGACACACUUAUAGUCACUCACCACGGGAUUAUGCCCAGGUACGAACAGUCAGAGAUCAGUGACGACUGACUGACGUGCUGAAUGCUCACAUGCGUGCCAUCCUUCCGUCGCCUCGAGGCAUGGGGGAGUUGUGCCUACUCCAGCUACGCGUCUAGCGUAAUUCGACUACCCAACCGACGGCUGGUCAACUAUCACCCCUCGGCCCUCGCUGACUCCUACUACCCAUGCUCUCAUCUCUCAACACAUCACGGGGUUUUGAUCUUUAGAUCGUUUGUAAUCUGUUAUGGCGGUUUUACGACGAUGAUGUUCUAAACCACAUGUUUCUAAAUUUGCAUGACAGACUUUACGAGAAGUAAUGUUCCUUGUUUGGUAACCUGUUGGCUGCUACCCCUUGAAUCUCUCUUCUUACUUCCUUACAUGGGCGGGAUGGGCCCCCUUGAUUUGAGGGGAAUCCUUUGCUGCUAUAGUCAUGGACUUCAUCCACUGGUGAAAAUCAAUGAGAGAAUGCUGCAAUUCAAGACUGAUACAUUGUGUAGUUGUUAGAUAAAUGGCAAGUGCAUAUCUGGGCUCCCUUCUUUUCAGUGGCCCCG